Molecule: long non-coding RNA, 232 nt
Filed under: Hordeum vulgare
Lineage: Eukaryota; Viridiplantae; Streptophyta; Magnoliopsida; Poales; Poaceae
Description: long non-coding RNA (HVUL_LNC008970)
Source: RNAcentral
GGUAAACACAUGGUAUUGACCACCGUUCAACUACUUCGGAUUACUCUAAAACCCGACUUGGUUGUUCUGCUGGUGAUUGCUCUUCCCCAAGCAUUGAUGACCGCCACUAUUGUUAUCGUGACUCUGGAAACCGGCUCCUGAGCCGCCUGAACUCUCAGCCUUAACUUGCAAAACCACCAUAUGAGCCAGCACCUGACCCACCGGCACCGGGAUGACCCAGGUUGCCCCCGUU